Molecule: ribosomal RNA, 466 nt
Filed under: uncultured bacterium
Lineage: Bacteria
Description: partial 16S ribosomal RNA
Rfam family: Bacterial small subunit ribosomal RNA
Source: RNAcentral
GAUGAACGCUGGCGGCGUGCUUAACACAUGCAAGUCGAACGAUGAAGCCCAGCUUGCUGGGUGGAUUCGUGGCGAACGGGUGAGUAACACGUGAGUAACCUGCCCUUAACUCUGGGAUAAGCCUGGGAAACUGGGUCUAAUACCGGAUAGGAGCGCCUACCGCACGGUGGGUGUUGGAAAGAUUUAUCGGUUUUGGAUGGCCUCGCGGCCUAUCAGCUUGUUGGUGAGGUAAUGGCUCACCAAGGCGACGACGGGUAGCCGGCCUGAGAGGGUGACCGGCCACACUGGGACUGAGACACGGCCCAGACUCCUACGGGAGGCAGCAGUGGGGAAUAUUGCACAAUGGGCGGAAGCCUGAUGCAGCGACGCCGCGUGAGGGAUGACGGCCUUCGGGUUGUAAACCUCUUUCAGUAGGGAAGAAGCGAAAGUGACGGUACCUGCAGAAGAAGCACCGGCUAACUACGUG